Molecule: transfer RNA, 74 nt
Filed under: Ralstonia pickettii
Lineage: Bacteria; Pseudomonadati; Pseudomonadota; Betaproteobacteria; Burkholderiales; Burkholderiaceae
Also listed under: 1 other name
Description: tRNA-Gly
Rfam family: tRNA
About the family: Transfer RNA (tRNA) molecules are approximately 80 nucleotides in length. Their secondary structure includes four short double-helical elements and three loops (D, anti-codon, and T loops). Further hydrogen bonds mediate the characteristic L-shaped molecular structure. tRNAs have two regions of fundamental functional importance: the anti-codon, which is responsible for specific mRNA codon recognition, and the 3' end, to which the tRNAs corresponding amino acid is attached (by aminoacyl-tRNA synthetases). tRNAs cope with the degeneracy of the genetic code in two manners: having more than one tRNA (with a specific anti-codon) for a particular amino acid; and 'wobble' base-pairing, i.e. permitting non-standard base-pairing at the 3rd anti-codon position.
Source: RNAcentral
GCGGGUUUGGCCGAGUGGUCAUGCGCCAGCCUUCCAAGCUGUGUACGCCGGUUCAAUUCCGGCAAUCCGCUCCA